Molecule: long non-coding RNA, 583 nt
Organism: Nilaparvata lugens (brown planthopper)
Lineage: Eukaryota; Metazoa; Arthropoda; Insecta; Hemiptera; Delphacidae
Exons: 4
Source: RefSeq, a predicted model, not a curated record
CGAUUUUGGCUUUACACCAGAGUGCUGCAUGACGUUUGGUCAAUACAUUUUGCAUUUGCAAUGGGCCAACGGUUUUUUGAGGUUGUUUGUGUUUUGUAGUUUGUAAUUUUUGUGAUUUUAUCCAGGAAAUAUAGGAGCUUUGGUGAUGAAAUUUUCAAACACAAAAGAAAAAGACAUAGAAGCAGUAUGGUAAUCAAAUACUGGCUGAAGUCUCCAAAAACUUGGUUUACCAGCAAAGAGAAAUCUAAACCAAAGUGGGAAUAGAACUGCAGAUACAUAUUAUACUAAAAUCCACCAUGAAAGACGAAUAUGAUGCCAACUAGUUGGAUUAGAUUUGAAAAAAAGUUCUUCUCCUUUCUACAUCUGAUGAAAGCCAUUUUCAGUGGGAAUAGAACUGCAGACGCAUAUACUAAAAUCCACCAUGACAGACGAAUAUGCUGCCAAACUACAGUUGGAUUGGAUUUAAAACUCCUUUCUACAUCUGAUGGAAACCAUUUUUAGUAAGUUGCACUCUACUAUUUCCUUCAAGAAUCAAUUCUUUCACCAUUCCUAAACAACUUACUUUACAACAUCAAAAACAACU